UACCGGCGGCUCGAGUGGUGGCCACGUUUAUUGGGCUUAAAGCGUUCGUAGCUGGGUUAUUAAGUCCCUUGGGAAAUCCGACAGCUUAACUGUCGGGCGUCUAAGAGAUACUGGGUAAUCUUGGAACCGGGAGAGGUGAGGGGGUACUUCGGGGGUAGGAGUGAAAUCCUGUAAUCCUCGAGGGACCACCUGUGGCGAAGGCGCCUCACCAGAACGGCUUCGACAGUGAGGGACGAAAGCUGGGGGAGCAAACCGGAUUAGAUACCCGGGUAGUCCCAGCCGUAAACGAUGUGCGUUAGGUGUAUCGGUGACCACGAGUCACCGAGGUGCCGAAGGGAAACCGUGAAACGUACCGCCUGGGAAGUACGGUCGCAAGGCUGAAACUUAAAGGAAUUGGCGGGGGAGCACCACAACAGGUGGAGCCUGCGGUUUUAAAAUUGGACUCAACGCCGGAAAUCUCACCGGAUAAGACAGCAGAAUGAUUGCCGGGCUGAAGACUCUGCAUGACUAGCUGAGAAGUGGUGCAUGG
RNAcentral lists this ribosomal RNA (529 nucleotides) under uncultured archaeon. RNAcentral describes it as "bacterial SSU rRNA". It matches the Rfam family "Archaeal small subunit ribosomal RNA", at positions 474 to 997 of the family's 1478-position model. The record is from RNAcentral.